This 253-nucleotide ribosomal RNA is filed under the name uncultured bacterium. RNAcentral describes it as "partial 16S ribosomal RNA". It matches the Rfam family "Bacterial small subunit ribosomal RNA", at positions 524 to 776 of the family's 1533-position model. The record is from RNAcentral.
UACGAAGGGGGCUAGCGUUGUUCGGAAUCACUGGGCGUAAAGCGCACGUAGGCGGAUCUUUAAGUCAGGGGUGAAAUCCCGAGGCUCAACCUCGGAACUGCCUUUGAUACUGGGGAUCUCGAGUCCGGGAGAGGUGAGUGGAACUGCGAGUGUAGAGGUGAAAUUCGUAGAUAUUCGCAAGAACACCAGUGGCGAAGGCGGCUCACUGGCACGGAACUGACGCUGAGGUGCGAAAGCGUGGGGAGCAAACAGG